RNAcentral lists this ribosomal RNA (858 nucleotides) under uncultured organism. RNAcentral describes it as "SSU rRNA". It matches the Rfam family "Bacterial small subunit ribosomal RNA", at positions 609 to 1474 of the family's 1533-position model. The record is from RNAcentral.
UCAACCCAUGAACUGCUUUCAAACUGGUUCGUCUUGAGUAGUGCAGAGGUAGGCGGAAUUCCCGGUGUAGCGGUGGAAUGCGUAGAUAUCGGGAGGAACACCAGUGGCGAAGGCGGCCUACUGGGCACCAACUGACGCUGAGGCUCGAAAGUGUGGGUAGCAAACAGGAUUAGAUACCCUGGUAGUCCACACCGUAAACGAUGAUUACUAGGUGUUGGGAGAUUGACCCUCUCAGUGCCGCAGUUAACACAAUAAGUAAUCCACCUGGGGAGUACGACCGCAAGGUUGAAACUCAAAGGAAUUGACGGGGGCCCGCACAAGCAGUGGAGUAUGUGGUUUAAUUCGACGCAACGCGAAGAACCUUACCAAGUCUUGACAUCCCUUGACGAUGCUGGAAACAGUAUUUCUCUUCGGAGCAAGGAGACAGGUGGUGCAUGGUUGUCGUCAGCUCGUGUCGUGAGAUGUUGGGUUAAGUCCCGCAACGAGCGCAACCCUUAUGGUCAGUUACUACGCAAGAGGACUCUGGCCAGACUGCCGUUGACAAAACGGAGGAAGGUGGGGAUGACGUCAAAUCAUCAUGCCCUUUAUGACUUGGGCUACACACGUACUACAAUGGCGUUAAACAAAGAGAAGCAAGACCGCGAGGUGGAGCAAAACUCAGAAACAACGUCCCAGUUCGGACUGCAGGCUGCAACUCGCCUGCACGAAGUCGGAAUUGCUAGUAAUCGUGGAUCAGCAUGCCACGGUGAAUACGUUCCCGGGCCUUGUACACACCGCCCGUCACACCAUGAGAGCCGGGGGGACCCGAAGUCGGUAGUCUAACCGCAAGGAGGACGCCGCCGAAGGUAAAACUGGUGA